CCGACAGUAGUCUAAUGGAUAAGACAAAGGGCCGUAACCCCUAAGAUUAUCGGUUCGAAUCCGGUCUGUCGGACCA
RNAcentral lists this transfer RNA (76 nucleotides) under Promethearchaeota archaeon. RNAcentral's name for it is "Candidatus Lokiarchaeota archaeon (microbial mat metagenome) tRNA-Tyr". It matches the Rfam family "tRNA". Rfam says of the family: Transfer RNA (tRNA) molecules are approximately 80 nucleotides in length. Their secondary structure includes four short double-helical elements and three loops (D, anti-codon, and T loops). Lineage: Archaea; Promethearchaeati; Promethearchaeota. The record is from RNAcentral.